CGUUUUUUCCCGGCCGUGACCGGGAAUUUUCUGUCUCCUCUCUCUCUCUCUCUCGAUCUCUAUCAUGGCGCGGUUCCUCUGUCGUACACUGCUCCGCCACGGUCGAACCGCUGCCGCCGCUUCCUUCUCCUCGGUCGACCCAAAGGUGAUUCGACCUUGCUUUUCUCUUCAACACCAUCGGCACCGAUCAUCCAAGGCUUCCAAACCCCAGCUCAUCCAGAUCGAGUUAGGCUCAUCUUCUUCGUCGUCAACCUCGUCUUCUUUGAAUGAUGGCGACUACGAGUUGGCUUUGAAGAGGUUCGAUGAGCUUAUUCAGCGUAUUCUGGUGAAGAAAGCCACACCCGAUUGGUUGCCCUUCGUCCCGGGCUCGUCGUUCUGGGUCCCGCCCCGAGCAUCGUCUCCCGGAAAUGUGGUGGACUUGGUUGAGAAAUUGACGAAUGAUCUAAGCGACGAGGAAUACAUGUCCAUUACCUCGCUUCGUGGUUGGCCCUGCUCCAAUUUCUUCAUCAAAGAAAAUGAAUCUGCUCAUAUGGAUGCUGAUGUGGAGUUAAGUGGGCCAGAAGAGAUGGGGGUGAGAGUACAGGUCAAGGUUUUAACAGUGCCAGGAAAUGUAGCUCUGUCAGAAGAUGAGGAAAGCUGACACAUAAUUUAAUUGAACCGGUUACUGUGGGUAAAAACUGUGGAUGCUGGUACCGGACUCUUAAUGUUUGUACAAGAGGACUUCUAACGCAUAUCAUCAAUGCAAAUGUCUCUGGAUGUUUCAAGUAUUAUUGUACUGUUCCAGAUGUUAAUGAUAAAGGAUUUUCUGGAUUGCAGCUUCAGCACAUCCAGGAUUGAACAACUUGCAUGGAAGGUCAAUGCAAGGACAAGGCAAAUGGGUUAUGGGGGUCCAUGCAAUUGCAGUACUGGUUGGUUUGUCUUGGGAAUACCCUUCUCACUCUACUUGGUCUCAAUGCCAUUUGUUUAUAUUUAGUUGUUGACCAGGUGGUCAAAUUGAGAAUCAUCAGUGUGUAUGUUGGGUAUUUGCGAGGAUAUGUUGAACUCUUCUCAUGUUCGAGGAAAUGUAUGUAUUUGUUCAUGGAAAUUGAUAAAAGCAUUUUCUUCUCUGUGCA
Neltuma alba is the source of this 1112-nucleotide RNA transcript. RefSeq lists it as uncharacterized. The transcript has 4 exons. NCBI's taxonomy places the organism in Eukaryota, Viridiplantae, Streptophyta, Magnoliopsida, Fabales, Fabaceae. The record is from RefSeq and is a predicted model, not a curated record.